CGGACGGGUGAGUAAUGUCUGGGAAACUGCCUGAUGGAGGGGGAUAACUACUGGAAACGGUAGCUAAUACCGCAUAAUGUCGCAAGACCAAAGAGGGGGACCUUCGGGCCUCUUGCCAUCGGAUGUGCCCAGAUGGGAUUAGCUAGUAGGUGGGGUAACGGCUCACCUAGGCGACGAUCCCUAGCUGGUCUGAGAGGAUGACCAGCCACGCUGGAACUGAGACACGGUCCAGACUCCUACGGGAGGCAGCAUG
RNAcentral lists this ribosomal RNA (253 nucleotides) under uncultured bacterium. Its description in RNAcentral is "partial 16S ribosomal RNA". It matches the Rfam family "Bacterial small subunit ribosomal RNA", at positions 99 to 353 of the family's 1533-position model. The record is from RNAcentral.